GACGAACGCUGGCGGCGUGCUUAACACAUGCAAGUCGAACGGAAAGGCCCUGCUUUUGUGGGGUGCUCGAGUGGCGAACGGGUGAGUAACACGUGAGUAACCUGCCCUUGACUUUGGGAUAACUUCAGGAAACUGGGGCUAAUACCGGAUAGGAGCUCCUGCUGCAUGGUGGGGGUUGGAAAGUUUCGGCGGUUGGGGAUGGACUCGCGGCUUAUCAGCUUGUUGGUGGGGUAGCGGCUUACCAAGGCUUUGACGGGUAGCCGGCCUGAGAGGGUGGCCGGCCACAUUGGGACUGAGAUACGGCCCAGACUCCUACGGGAGGCAGCAGUGGGGAAUAUUGCACAAUGGGCGGAAGCCUGAUGCAGCAACGCCGCGUGCGGGAUGACGGCCUUCGGGUUGUAAACCGCUUUCGCCUGUGACGAAGCGUGAGUGACGGUAAUGGGUAAAGAAGCACCGGCUAACUACGUG
This 468-nucleotide ribosomal RNA is filed under the name uncultured bacterium. Its description in RNAcentral is "partial 16S ribosomal RNA". It matches the Rfam family "Bacterial small subunit ribosomal RNA", at positions 28 to 507 of the family's 1533-position model. The record is from RNAcentral.